AUCCAGCUGACGAGUCCCGAAUAAGACGAAACGCGCAUCCUGGAC
RNAcentral lists this non-coding RNA (45 nucleotides) under Schistosoma haematobium. Lineage: Eukaryota; Metazoa; Platyhelminthes; Trematoda; Strigeidida; Schistosomatidae. The record is from RNAcentral.